AUAGCAUCGUCCCGAGACCUAGCUCCAUCAAUGUUGACACGGAGCUCUUCUCAGGGCGUCGGCUGCUGAGAGUGUGGUAGGUACCAAGUAGCCUUGUCUCGCUUGGAAGCGUUAACCAUUCCCUACCCAGGUUGUGGUGCUGGUGAUACUAUGUUUCAUUGCUGGCUAAGGUGGAGACCGUUCUUCUGACUGCCUUACAGAGAUCUGGUUUUCUCCGUGUAGACGGUCCUCUGUAGAGUGAGCAUUUAGCAACGGGUGAGCAUCUUGGUGGUCGUGCAGGAAUGAAGUUAGCGGUUCCAAAUGAUGAUGACCUGUCCUGCCCUGCCUCUGUGUCAUCUGAGAGCACUCGGAGUCUGCUGGCUCCUCCCCAGAUGCCUGCCCCGGCCCAGGCCACAGCCCAAAGCCAGGAACUAGGAAUUCAAGGAGGGCCUCCCACGCAGCUGCCUGCGCCAUCGCCACCGCACCCAGAGUCUGCAUUCCCAGGAGGCUGGGGCCGGGGCGGGGCAGGGGCUGAUCCAGGCUCCCCCGUGUGGGAUGCAGGGCUCUCAACCACGAGACCCAACACAGCCGUGAACCCCGGGAAGAUCCUUUGUGUGUACAUAGGUGUGUGUCACACACUCACACCUUCACACACACCACUCACAGACACUCACACACACACCACUCACACACACACCACUCACACACACACACCACACACACUCACACAUACACACUUACACAUUCACACAUACACACUUACACUCACACAUUCACACACAAUCACACCUUCACACACACCACUCACAGACACUCACACACACACCACUUACACACUCACACACAUACACACUUACACACUCACAUGCACUCACACUUACACACACUCACACAUACACACUCACACAUUCACACAUGCACACACUCACACAUUCUCACACGCACCCACACACUCAACACACACGCACACACACACAGUCACACACACUGAAACACUCACACACUCACAGACACACACUCACACACAUUCACACACAUUCUCACAUACACUCACACACAUAUUCACACACUCUCACACAUACAUGCACACACGCAUUCACAUACACACACACUCUCACACACUCAUUCACACAUUCUCACACACUCACACUCACUCUCACACGCACUCCCACAUACUCCCGCACUCAACACACACACACACUCACACACACAGUCACACACACUCACACACUGAAACACUCUCACACACACUCACACAUUCACACACAUGCACACACAUUCACACACACCACUCACACACUCACUCACACACACUGCAGUCUCCUCUUGAAGCUCAGAUUGUCCCAACUUUUUUUAAAGAUUUAUUUAUUUAUUUGAAAGGCAGAGUUACAGAGAGAGAGAGAGAGAGAGAGAGAGAGAGAGAGGUCUUCCAUCUGCUGGUUCACUCCCCACAUGGCUGCAGUGGCCAGGGCUGGGUCAGUCAGGAUCCAGGAGCUUCUUCCAGGUCCCGAGCACCCGGGCCAUCCUCUACUGCUUCCCCAGGCACACAGCAGAGAGCUGGAUUGGAAGAAGAGCAUCCAGGACUCGAACCAGCGCCCAGAUGGGAUGCUGACACCGCAGGCAGAGGCUUCACUUUCUGCGCCAUGCACUGCCCCUCACGCCUGUCAAAUAAAUAAAUAAAUGCAUCUUUGUUUUUAAAGAUAGCAAUUUUAAAAUAAAGCAGAAGGCGCAUCUCUUGUACGGCCUAGGGUUGGAAGGCACAGCCAUUGUUUGAAAAAGUCACAAAAGCCUGCCCAAUUUCAGACGCGUGGAGGGUAGCCAGGUCUCGUGGCAGGAAGAGCAAGGGGAAGGCUGCAGCCGACUGCAGGAAGAACAGCUGGCGCCCCAACAGGGACGCACAAAGCCGGCGCUCUGACCAGGACGCACACAGCCGGCGCCCCAACGGGGACGCACACAGCCGGCACCCCGACCAGGAU
This is a long non-coding RNA of Oryctolagus cuniculus (rabbit), 1955 nucleotides long. The record is from Ensembl. Lineage: Eukaryota; Metazoa; Chordata; Mammalia; Lagomorpha; Leporidae.